RNAcentral lists this ribosomal RNA (460 nucleotides) under uncultured bacterium. RNAcentral describes it as "partial 16S ribosomal RNA". It matches the Rfam family "Bacterial small subunit ribosomal RNA", at positions 338 to 795 of the family's 1533-position model. The record is from RNAcentral.
CCUACGGGUGGCAACAGUGAGGAAUAUUGGUCAAUGGACGCGAGUCUGAACCAGCCAUGCCGCGUGCGGGAGGACGGCCCUACGAGUUGUAAACCGCUUUUGUACGAGGGCAAACGCCGAUACGUGUAUCUCCCUGAAUGUAUCGUACGAAUAAGGAUCGGCUAACUCCGUGCCAGCAGCCGCGGUAAUACGGAGGGUUCAAGCGUUAAUCGGAUUUAUUGGGUUUAAAGGGUGCGUAGGCGGUCGGGUAAGUUAAGGGUGAAAUCCCGGGGCUCAACCUCGGAAUUGCCAUUGAAACUGGCGGGCUGGAGUGUAGUAGCGGUAGGCGGAAUGUGUGGUGUAGCGGUGAAAUGCUUAGAUAUCAUGCAGAACACCGAUUGCGAAGGCAGCUUGCCGGGCUACGACUGACGUUGAGGCACGAAAGCGUGGGGAGCAAACAGGAUUAGAUACCCUUGUAGUC